RNAcentral lists this transfer RNA (76 nucleotides) under Oscillospiraceae bacterium. Its description in RNAcentral is "tRNA-Thr". It matches the Rfam family "tRNA". From Rfam's summary of the family: Transfer RNA (tRNA) molecules are approximately 80 nucleotides in length. Their secondary structure includes four short double-helical elements and three loops (D, anti-codon, and T loops). Lineage: Bacteria; Bacillati; Bacillota; Clostridia; Eubacteriales; Oscillospiraceae. The record is from RNAcentral.
GCUGGCGUAGCACAGUCGGUAGUGCAGCUGAUUCGUAAUCAGCAGGUCGUGGGUUCGAUUCCCAUCGCCAGCUCCA